GUGCCAGCAGCCGCGGUAAUACGGAGGGUGCAAGCGUUAUUCGGAAUCACUGGGCGUAAAGGACGCGUAGGCGGGAUGCCAAGUCUGAUGUGAAAUCCUAUGGCUUAACCAUAGAACUGCAUUGGAAACUGGUAACCUAGAGUAUGGGGGGGGGAGAUGGAAUUAGUGGUGUAGGGGUCAAAUCCGUGCAUAUCAUCUAGGAAUACAC
This 208-nucleotide ribosomal RNA is filed under the name uncultured bacterium. Its description in RNAcentral is "partial 16S ribosomal RNA". It matches the Rfam family "Bacterial small subunit ribosomal RNA", at positions 505 to 711 of the family's 1533-position model. The record is from RNAcentral.